GUGGGAAAAAAAAAGUGGGGGAAGGAAAGGGGACGGUAACUGGCAAAAAAAGCGCCUCUUAACUACGUGCCACCGCCCGCGUUAAUACGUAAGGGCGCAAGCUUUGUCCGAAAUUAUUGGGCGUAAAGAGUUCCUUAGGCGGUUUGCCCCGCCUGUUGUGAAACCCCGGGGCUCACCCCCGGGUCCUGCGGGGGGUACGGGGAAAACUAAAAGGGCAGUAGGGAAAAAUGGGAUUUCCUGGUGUAGGGGGGAAAUGCCCAAAUAUCAGGAGGACCCCCGAUGGCGAAGGCAGGUCUCUGGGCUGUUACUGACCCUGAGGAGGAAAAGCAUGGGGAGCGAACAGGAUUAGAUCCCCCGGUAGCCAA
RNAcentral lists this ribosomal RNA (365 nucleotides) under Kocuria turfanensis. RNAcentral describes it as "partial 16S ribosomal RNA". It matches the Rfam family "Bacterial small subunit ribosomal RNA", at positions 439 to 797 of the family's 1533-position model. The record is from RNAcentral. Lineage: Bacteria; Bacillati; Actinomycetota; Actinomycetes; Micrococcales; Micrococcaceae.